Molecule: transfer RNA, 75 nt
Filed under: Rhodospirillaceae bacterium
Lineage: Bacteria; Pseudomonadati; Pseudomonadota; Alphaproteobacteria; Rhodospirillales; Rhodospirillaceae
Also listed under: 3 other names
Description: tRNA-Gly(gcc)
Rfam family: tRNA
About the family: Transfer RNA (tRNA) molecules are approximately 80 nucleotides in length. Their secondary structure includes four short double-helical elements and three loops (D, anti-codon, and T loops).
Source: RNAcentral
GCGGGUGUAGCUCAGGGGUAGAGCACAACCUUGCCAAGGUUGGGGUCGAGAGUUCGAAUCUCUUCACCCGCUCCA